UAUCUUACAAUCCCAUCCUACUCCUCUCCCGCUAUCUUUCCACGGCCACCACUGCCUCCCUCUACUUUCUCUUUCUCAUUAAUGGCCUCCUCCUUCUCGCCGCUCUCUCUCUCUCUCUAAAACCGUCUGUCUCUCUGUGGAAUUGACGAAGAUGAAGUCUAUGCAGCCGCGCUACAAUUUCUUACGGGAGACAAUGAAGCCAAGCCUCCCCAGUCGCCACUCGCCAAACUGUAGCUCCGGCAAGCCUCCAAGGAGAAUGCGCCUCUACCUUCAGAUCUAACUCGUCAUCCUUUUGAUUCUCACAGACGGAGAUUCCCAAACCCUCCCUCUUUCUAUCAAGAAUCGAUUCACCACAAUCCCUUUUUAUCCCGAUUCAAUUUCCCUAGUUUACAGAAGGUUUCCGGGAGCUUUAACUACCAAUUGGACUACAAUGAGAUCAAUUCAUGGAACUGCAUCUAUGGCUGCAAGAGAUUACUAUGAGACAGUUGGGGUUAGCAGGAAUGCAAGUGCAUCAGAAAUAAAGAAAGCUUAUUAUGGGGCAUUGCAGUUGGGACAAGACUCGGAACUUCUUCGGUCGUCUUUGAAAAUCUGGAAUUAGUAUGCAGUAAGAAGAAGGAACCAUCUGAGAAUUUCAAAGGCAAGGGUUGUGAACAUCUAGGAACCGUUCUUUAAAAGACUUUGACCCGCUUCGCUCUUGUCCACCACGUAGCUUUCAGGUGGUCUCAAGAUUGAUUGUACGAGAACAAUCCUCGAUGCAUGCUGGGGUAACCCACAAGAAGGUGAGCUAAACCGAACACUCUGCAGUCUUGCGGCUGGAGGUAGGCACCCUUCUGUGGAGAGACGACCACUUUACUUUCAGGGGCACCAUUCUGGUGACGACUUCGCUGCAGGUGAAGUAACUUCUUACAUCUGGCGUUGCACAAAGAUCCCUCCGGAGCAGUUUCUUUGCUUUGACGCACCGCGAUACAGGCAUCAAAAACGAGUGCAGUGAAACCCCCUUGAGUUGGACCUUGCUUUCGCCACCUAUACGCAGGACGCACCGCAAUAUAGGCAUCGAAAGAAGGUCGAGAAUACACGGGUGAGCCUCUUCCCUUGCCGAAAUAUCUUUUCCUCCUCCAUCUCUGUGAACGUGCUUUUUUUCUUGGUCUCUUUAAACCUGCACUGUUUGUUAACACAAAGGCAAAUGGAGGUGUUUUGUUUUCUGAUUUUGGUGGGCAACAAUGAGGGAUUUGAGGCUUUGUGAGUUGUGAUGGUGUUGUUGGCAUAUUUGGCCGGAGUGGUUUGUUUUCGGAGCUGUUUAAGAAGGAUUACAGAGCCCACAUGGAAAUAGGCAGAGGCAAGUCUUUCUGCACUCAUGGAGAUAUUAGCAACGAGCAAGGAAGACCUUGAAGAAACGACCAGCAGGAUACCUGAAUAUGAAGCUCUCCUGUCGUCGGGUUGUCGUCUCCAGGAACCGUUCUUUAAAAGACUUUGACCCGCUUCGCUCUUGUCCACCACGUAGCUUUCAGGUGGUCUCAAGAUUGAUUGUACGAGAACAAUCCUCGAUGCAUGCUGGGGUAACCCACAAGAAGGUGAGCUAAACCGAACACUCUGCAGUCUUGCGGCCAGGUAGGCACCCUUCUGUGGAGAGACGACCACUUUACUUUCAGGGGCACCAUUCUGGUGACGACUUCGCUGCAGGUGAAGUAACUUCUUACAUCUGGCGCUGCACAAAGAUCCCUCCGGAGCAGUUUCUUUGCUUUGACGCACCGCGAUACAGGCAUCAAAAACAAGUGCAGUGAAACCCCCUUGAGUUGGACCUUGCUUUCGCCACCUAUACGCAGGUCGCACCGCAAUAUAGGCAUCGAAAGAAGGUCGAGAAUACACGGGUGAGCCUCUUCCCUUGCCGAAAUAUCUUUUCCUCCUCCAUCUCUGUGAACGUGCUUUUUUUCUUGGUCUCUUUAAACCUGCACUGUUUGUUAACACAAAGGCAAAUGGAGGUGUUUUGUUUUCUGAUUUUGGUGGGCAACAAUGAGGGAUUUGAGGCUUUGUGAGUUGUGAUGGUGUUGUUGGCAUAUUUGGCCGGAGUGGUUUGUUUUCGGAGCUGUUUAAGAAGGAUUACAGAGCCCACAUGGAAAUAGGCAGAGGCAAGUCUUUCUGCACUCAUGGAGAUAUUAGCAACGAGCAAGGAAGACCUUGAAGAAACGACCAGCAGGAUACCUGAAUAUGAAGCUCUCCUGUCGUCGGGUUGUCGUCUCCAGAGCUCUUUAAAUAGGCACGUAGAAGAAUAAGAGAUCAUGCAGGUUAACCCUAAUUUUAAAUUCGAAAUGAUCUUCAGAUGAUGAUAACCACUCCCACAUUCAAACUUGCAACCGUGGGAAUUAUCCACAACUUCCAGUAUGGGAUUUGAAUUUGAAAACUUGAUACAAAAUGAGUCAUCUGAUUGCUACCACUUCAAAUGAUAUCAAGUCGUGACUUUUGUUAUCCUCAUUGGAUGGAUGAUUUGAAUAUUCUUGACUUGGUCUUGAAUACAAUCCACGUGAUGCAUGCAUGAUCUUCCUUUUCUUGUUUUAUUUGAACUUUGAAGACAACUAGGACUCUACCUUCUUUGGCCAUAGCAAACUUGUACAAUUAUCUGCUUUGGAGAUAAUUAAGCUAAAAAUACUGGACUCUCACUUUUGCAUCGAACCAAAAAUUUUUAUUUUGGGUUUGUGAAAUUUUCGGUCUCAACGGCCAUGAUCUAGAACUUAGAACUGGGGCAAGUUUCUUUAGACACCUAGAAUAUAUUGUCAAUAUUAACUGAAUUGGGUAUGGGAACGAUUAUGUUUCUGCUGAUAAACAAUUCUUUCUAAGCCUUACAAAAUAAACCAGUCUACUUGUGUAAAAACAAACUAUUAAACUUAACAUCAACCCCAAUCAAAACAGCAAAAAAUGGCUUACUCACUCAAAGUUUUCCUAUGCUUCUCCUCUUCUUGAGAUAUCUUGAUGAUCUCCAAGCUGUGCCUGAAGUCCUCAUACACUCCCCCAACCCGAGACUCAGACUCAUUCUCUUUCAUCAUCCUCAACUUGACCAACCUCUCACUCAACUCCCCCAAUGAUAAUUAAAACACCUCAUUAUUUCUACCAUAAUAAACGCUGAGCAUUAACUAGUGGCUCUUGUUUAACUUCAGUAAUUUCUAAUGCAAGACUUGAGGUUCACAGCUCUGCCCUCUAAUUAGGGAUAAAGCUUCAAGUACUAAACCGGGACCAAACUUAAGAAGAAAAAACAAGGAAUUAAAGUUUGAUG
This is a long non-coding RNA of Rosa chinensis, 3265 nucleotides long. RefSeq lists it as uncharacterized. NCBI's taxonomy places the organism in Eukaryota, Viridiplantae, Streptophyta, Magnoliopsida, Rosales, Rosaceae. The transcript is spliced from 12 exons. The record is from RefSeq and is a predicted model, not a curated record.